GCACCUGUAGCACAAUUUGGAUAAUGCACAAGUUUCCUAAACUUGCUACUGUUGGUUCGAGUCCAGUCAGGUGCGCCA
RNAcentral lists this transfer RNA (78 nucleotides) under Mycoplasmataceae bacterium. RNAcentral's name for it is "tRNA-Arg". It matches the Rfam family "tRNA". From Rfam's summary of the family: Transfer RNA (tRNA) molecules are approximately 80 nucleotides in length. Their secondary structure includes four short double-helical elements and three loops (D, anti-codon, and T loops). The record is from RNAcentral. Lineage: Bacteria; Bacillati; Mycoplasmatota; Mollicutes; Mycoplasmatales; Mycoplasmataceae.